RNAcentral lists this ribosomal RNA (436 nucleotides) under Dirofilaria immitis (dog heartworm nematode). RNAcentral's name for it is "SSU rRNA". It matches the Rfam family "Eukaryotic small subunit ribosomal RNA", at positions 640 to 1079 of the family's 1831-position model. The record is from RNAcentral. Lineage: Eukaryota; Metazoa; Nematoda; Chromadorea; Rhabditida; Onchocercidae.
UCUGCAUCUUAGAACUUGGUCCAUCCAAAUGGAUGUGAACUAGGAUUCUAGACUAAAUAUUACAAGUUUUCUAUAUGUUACCUUAAUUGGUUGCAUAUAGUAGCUAGUAAGUUUACCUUGAAAAAAUUAGAGUGCUCAAUGCGGGCUUAAUGCCUGAAUACUCGUGCAUGGAAUAAUAAAAUAGGAUCUUGGUUCUAUUUUGUUGGUUUUCUGAUCUAAGAUAAUGGUUAAGAGGGACGGACGGGGGCAUUCGUAUCGCUACGUGAGAGGUGAAAUUCUUGGACCGUAGCGAGACGUACAACUGCGAAAGCAUUUGCCAAGAAUGUCUUCAUUAAUCAAGAACGAAAGUCAGAGGUUCGAAGGCGAUCAGAUACCGCCCUAGUUCUGACCGUAAACGAUACCAACUAGCGUUCCGUCGGCGGUAAAUACGCCUUGA